CAUUUAUUUAAUUCUUCUUUUUUUGCAGUCUGCUUGGAUAUUGUCAUCCACUAUAGUAACAUGCUUUCUUUUUCUAUACACCAUCACUAUAUAUCUAAACGAACACUAUGACAAGAUAUUAAGCAAAUGAAAACAAUAAAUAGAAAGGUAUACAAAAAAUUAAUUGUGUAAAUAAUAUUUUUAGGAUCACAUGCUUGUUGUUCUAAGAAUAAUUUACAAAAAAAAAUGAAAAAAACAAAGAUUAUGUAUAUGACACAUACCUUUUACUUGGUUGCUGAAGUGCUCCAUGUAUCAAUGCAUAACCUUUAGAUCAAAUGGAAUAAUAGGUUGAUAUUUACAAUUAUAUAUUUAUUCUUGUUCAGAACAUAUGAAAGAUAUGAAAUCUCUGUAGAAACUUUAAGAAAGUUUAAUCCUACAAGAAUGAUAAAUAAUAUUGCAAAUUUCAAGAUAUUUUGUCGAUGAAUAAAUCAUCGGAGACUCUUGCUAGAAAGUGCAGGCCGGCGGCUGUCUGUAGAUCUGAUUCAAGAAUUAGUUCUUGAAAUGCGAUUAUAGAGGACAGAGGAAUUGGAGGCGCCUGGCGUCGCUACCCACUGGACUGCCUGCCGC
This 606-nucleotide long non-coding RNA is filed under the name Sorghum bicolor (sorghum). RNAcentral's name for it is "long non-coding RNA (SBIC_LNC016788)". Lineage: Eukaryota; Viridiplantae; Streptophyta; Magnoliopsida; Poales; Poaceae. The record is from RNAcentral.